RNAcentral lists this ribosomal RNA (465 nucleotides) under uncultured bacterium. RNAcentral describes it as "partial 16S ribosomal RNA". It matches the Rfam family "Bacterial small subunit ribosomal RNA", at positions 339 to 795 of the family's 1533-position model. The record is from RNAcentral.
CUACGGGGCGCACCAGUGGGGAAUAUUGGACAAUGGGGGAAACCCUGAUCCAGCAAUGCCGCGUGUGUGAAGAAGGCCUGCGGGUUGUAAAGCACUUUCGGUUGGGAGGACUGCUUCUAGCACUAAUAUUGUUGGAAGUUGACGUUACCUUCAGAAGAAGCACCGGCUAACUCCGUGCCAGCAGCCGCGGUAAUACGGAGGGGUGCAGCGUUAAUCGGAAUUACUGGGCGUAAAGCGCGCGUAGGCGGCUAGAUCAGUCGGGUGUGAAAGCCCCGGGCUUAACCUGGGAACUGCAUCCGAUACUGUCUAGCUUGAGUACAGGAGAGGAGAGUGGAAUUCCACAUGUAGCGGUGAAAUGCGUAGAUAUGUGGAGGAACACCAAUGGCGAAGGCAGCUCUCUGGCCUGAUACUGACGCUGAGGUGCGAAAGCGUGGGGAGCAAACAGGAUUAGAUACCCGCGUAGUC